This is a long non-coding RNA of Passer domesticus (house sparrow), 2841 nucleotides long. RefSeq lists it as uncharacterized. Lineage: Eukaryota; Metazoa; Chordata; Aves; Passeriformes; Passeridae. The record is from RefSeq and is a predicted model, not a curated record. The transcript is spliced from 3 exons.
GAUGAGUUGACAAGGCAAACUGGAUUGUCCAGCCUGGAUGGGAAAUGAGGUCUCAAAGGAAUUUAGGAAUAAAAAGAGGAUGUAUCAUUGGAAGGAGGGUCAGGUCUCUCAGGAAGUAUUUAAGUGGGUUGCUAGGGCAUGUAGGAAAAAAAAAAUAAGGAGGCCAAAUCUCAGUUUGAGCUUAAUUUGGCAACUUUUUUAAAGGAGAAGAAAAGAUGUUUUUUGCAAACAUAUUGAUGGCAAAAGGAAGGGUAAGAACAACGUUUGUUCUCUAGUGGAUGCAGAGGGGAACUUAGUAAGGCAGAUGAGGAAAACAUGGAAGUGCUUAAUGCCCUCUUUGCCUCAGCCUUUGGUGGGAAGAUGGCUUGUCCUCAGGACAGCUCUCCUCCUGGGCUGGUAGAUGGUGUCAAGGAGCAGAAUGGGCCCCCCAUGAUCCAGGAAGCAGCAGUCAGAGGACUGCUGAGCUGCUUAAAUCCAUGAGACCAGAUGGGACCCACCCCAGGGGGAUGAGGGAGCUGGCAGAGCUAGAGAUAACUAGGCAGUAAACAUACCUGUGCUUUAUAAAAAGAUGUCUUUGAAGAAGGAGUGCUGUGGAGGAGAUGGAUGAACACAACAAAAAAAACCCCAACAUUCCAGACUUUGGUUUUCUUUUUGACAAAGAUGAUAAAAAAAAAGGUGGAUGUGACUUUGGAACUGGCAGGGAUGGAGCAUCUGACCUGCAAGGAGACACUGACAGAGCUGGAAAUGCUCAGCCUGGAGAAGGGAAGGUUCAGGGGGAUCUUAUCCAUGUGAAAAGUCUUGUGGGAGGGAGUGAACACCGAGGUUUAAAAUGUGAAAUUUUAACACCAAGUUUUAAAACAGGAAAUGCCAUUUGAACACAAGAAAAUGGAGUUGGUUUUACAUUUCAGUGUGUGAUUUUAGUUUGUUUGGUGGUGUUUUGUUUCUUUGUUUGUUUGGGCUUUUUUUGUGGUACCUUUAGUCUUAUGGUUUUGUUAAUGUAGUUGGGGUUUGUUUUUAUUUUUGGGGGUGUUUUUGUGGGUUUUUUUUGUUGUUUUUUUUUCUUAGUUUAGUUUAGUUUUGUUUUGUUUUGCUUUGUUUUGUUUGGUUUUUGAUGGGUUUUUCUUGGUAGUGUUUGGGAGUUUUUAACUCGGGAGUGUUUGGGUGUUUGGGAGUUUUUUGGGAAUGGUCAAACACGGCACCAGGCUGUACAAGAGGCUGUGGAAAUCAGUUUUUGGGAACACUAAAAUCCCGAGUGGACACAGGCCUAGGCAGGAUCCUUGAGCUGUCUCUGCUCAAGGAGGGUGUCUGGAGUGGCUGGCCCUGCCAAUCUCAUCCUGUCUGAGAUGUUCUGGUUCCUAAUUGCUGCAGUUCUAGUUCUUUUCAAAUCAAUGCUGACAGGGGGGAAAUUCCUGGCAACAAACCAGGCCAGAGGAUUCCUUCCCAAAAAGGAAUAAUCUGACAUUUUUGUCUUGAUUUUGGAACAACAUCUUUACUUCUCCUAUUUAAAGUAGGUGAAGAUUUGUCCCUGAAGAACUUGACUAUAUCUAGUGCUAUGCAGUUUUGCAUGAAAUAAUAACACACACACACACAAAAAAAAUAUAGUACAGUUUCAUAAUGUGCUUGCAGUUCCAAUUUUUAAAAACUAAAUUUAGAUAUGAAAGUAUUUUGGUUCCAACCAGUCCCAGCCUUUUAGAAUGAUAGCUGACAAACAAAAAUUCUGUUUCCUACACCAAAUCCAUUUUUUCCUGGUAGCUGUAGGGACAAUUAGCAUAUUUUUAAAAAAGUGGAAGUUCUAAUUUUAGGAAUUAUAUCUUCAUUUCCAGGGGAAAGUAGAAGACCAAGGAGACUUUUUAUUUUACCAGAAGCUGCUGCCUCUGCAAGUGUGUGCAGAACAUAUGUGUGAGCUGACACCACGACAGACUGAAGAGGAGCUCAGACCUGAAGCUAUUUGAAGCACUGGUUUGGCUUUGAAUUUAAUCAGCAUUUCCACCGGGACAAGGCAGCAAGCAGAUCAUGUGUUCCUCUUUCUAGUCAAUCACAGUGCAAAUGAAAUGGCAAAAUAUAAUUUACAAACAUCUUUUUUGGGUUUUUUUUUGCACUCCAGUAGACAUGGAGAACAUGCAGUGCCAGUGAUUAUGUCAGAUUUUACUUCUGUCUAGAUAAAAAAGAAGUCACAGGCUUUGUAACUUCAAGGUGACUCCUAACUACACCAUGAAACAGCACAUUUUCACAUUCCUGGAUGUAGUAAUUCUAUAAAGCUAUUCACCUCUGAAAUCUGAUUAACGGAAGACAUUUAUCUCGAUAAGUUUGCUCCACAGAUUUAAAACAAAACAAAAUGGAUUUCCUUGACCUAUUAACACUGUAAUUAUUAUUACUCUGAUUCCUGAAGUGUGACUCCCAAGGAUGUUAGCAGACAGUGUGGUACUGCAGCACUGAGGUGCAGGGCAUGAUUAAUCUUGUUUUAUGCCUUCACAUAAAAUAAUGCACGUCAAAGGCAACAUCUUCACCCAUUUGCAUCAGCAGCAGCUAACGAGCACACAGACACUUUCAGACAAGCAAAACUUUUCAAAGGAUGCUGUGUUGAGCUUCAGGUCUGCAGGAAGUGACUUGAAAAUGAGGUGAUUAGUUAUGUUCCACGCAGCAGAAGACAGCUUUUCAGACAGUAAUGGGAAGAAUUGCCACCUAUUUCCUGAUGUGUCCAAAGAGAUUAAACCCUUUUCAUGCUGAUCUGACAUCUCCCCCAAAAUCAGUGUAUUAUUCUCUUACCACCGUGGCCAGCACAGUCCAUGUGUGUAAGCAGUGGCCAUCAGGACUAAUCAAAUAAAAAGAAAAUGAAUGUUA